Pangasianodon gigas (Mekong giant catfish) is the source of this 72-nucleotide non-coding RNA. NCBI's taxonomy places the organism in Eukaryota, Metazoa, Chordata, Actinopteri, Siluriformes, Pangasiidae. The record is from the annotation of a GenBank genome assembly.
GGGGUGUGGCUUAGUGGUUAGCGCGUUAGCCUCGCAGUCUCAUGGUUGCGGGUUCGAUUCUCACCUCUAUCC